CCUUAGAGUUUGAUCCUGGCUCAGGAUGAACGCUAGCUACAGGCUUAACACAUGCAAGUCGAAGGGCAGCAUAAACUUAGCUUGCUAAGUUUGAUGGCGACCGGCGCACGGGUGAGUAACGCGUAUCCAACCUUCCGUACACUCAGGGAUAGCCUUUCGAAAGAAAGAUUAAUACCUGAUGGUAUGAUGAGAUUGCAUGAUAGCAUCAUUAAAGAUUUAUCGGUGUACGAUGGGGAUGCGUUCCAUUAGGUAGUAGGCGGGGUAACGGCCCACCUAGCCAACGAUGGAUAGGGGUUCUGAGAGGAAGGUCCCCCACAUUGGAACUGAGACACGGUCCAAACUCCUACGGGAGGCAGCAGUGAGGAAUAUUGGUCAAUGGACGAGAGUCUGAACCAGCCAAGUAGCGUGAAGGAUGAAGGUCCUACGGAUUGUAAACUUCUUUUAUAAGGGAAUAAACCCUCCCACGUGUGGGAGCUUGUAUGUACCUUAUGAAUAAGCAUCGGCUAACUCCGUGCCAGCAGCCGCGGUAAUACGGAGGAUGCGAGCGUUAUCCGGAUUUAUUGGGUUUAAAGGGAGCGCAGACGGGUCGUUAAGUCAGCUGUGAAAGUUUGGGGCUCAACCUUAAAAUUGCAGUUGAUACUGGCGUCCUUGAGUGCGGUUGAGGUGUGCGGAAUUCGUGGUGUAGCGGUGAAAUGCUUAGAUAUCACGAAGAACUCCGAUUGCGAAGGCAGCACACUAAUCCGUAACUGACGUUCAUGCUCGAAAGUGUGGGUAUCAAACAGGAUUAGAUACCCUGGUAGUCCACACGGUAAACGAUGGAUACUCGCUGUUGGCGAUAUACUGUCAGCGGCUUAGCGAAAGCGUUAAGUAUCCCACCUGGGGAGUACGCCGGCAACGGUGAAA
This 903-nucleotide ribosomal RNA is filed under the name uncultured bacterium. RNAcentral describes it as "bacterial SSU rRNA". It matches the Rfam family "Bacterial small subunit ribosomal RNA", at positions 1 to 899 of the family's 1533-position model. The record is from RNAcentral.